CAAAGGCAUGGUCCCGACCUUAUUAUCAGCCCUAGCCCAACUUACACAUGCAAGUCUCCGAGCCCCGUGAGUAAGCCCCUUAAUCCCCUGCCCGGGGACGAGGAGCAGGCAUCAGGCACAAACCUUAGCCCAAGACGCCAGGCCUAGCCACACCCCCAAGGGAAUUCAGCAGUGAUAAAUAUUAAGCCAUAAGUGAAAACUUGACUCAGUUAGAGCUAAGAGGGCCGGUAAAACUCGUGCCAGCCACCGCGGUUAAACGAGAGGCCCUAGUUGAUAGUAUAGCGGCGUAAAGGGUGGUUAAGGAUAGUAAAACAAUAAAGUCGAAUGGCCCUUUGGCUGUCAUACGCUUCUAGGAGUCCGAAGCCCAGUAUACGAAAGUAACUUUAAGAAAGCCCACCUGACCCCACGAAAACUGAGGAACAAACUGGGAUUAGAUACCCCACUAUGCUCAGUCAUAAACCCAGACGUCCAGCUACAAUUAGACGUCCGCCCGGGUACUACGAGCAUUAGCUUGAAACCCAAAGGACCUGACGGUGCCUCAGACCCCCCUAGAGGAGCCUGUUCUAGAACCGAUAACCCCCGUUAAACCUCACCGCUUCUAGCCAUCCCAGCCUAUAUACCGCCGUCGUCAGCUUACCC
RNAcentral lists this ribosomal RNA (639 nucleotides) under Hybopsis dorsalis (bigmouth shiner). RNAcentral's name for it is "partial 12S ribosomal RNA". It matches the Rfam family "Bacterial small subunit ribosomal RNA", at positions 7 to 1065 of the family's 1533-position model. The record is from RNAcentral. Lineage: Eukaryota; Metazoa; Chordata; Actinopteri; Cypriniformes; Leuciscidae.